Molecule: long non-coding RNA, 1537 nt
Filed under: Macaca nemestrina (pig-tailed macaque)
Lineage: Eukaryota; Metazoa; Chordata; Mammalia; Primates; Cercopithecidae
Description: lncRNA (ENSMNEG00000046053.1)
Source: RNAcentral
CUGAGGUCAGGAGUUUGAGACUGGCCUGGCCAAUAUGGUGAAACCCCUCCUCUGCUAAAAAUACAAAAAUUAGCUAGGCGUGGUGGUGUGUGCCUCCCAACUACUGGGGAGGCUGAGACAGGAGAAUUGCUUGAACCCGGGAGGCAGAGGUUGCAGUGAGCUGAGAUGGCGCCACUGCACUCCAGCCUGGGCGACAGAGCAAGACUCCAUCUCAAAACAAAAACAAAAAUGAAAACAAAAACAAAAACAGAACAAAAACAAAAUCGAGGGGGGGGUCUCCCCGGGACAGCUUGUGGCUUUAAAACAUUAUGCAAGAUGAAUCAUUCUUGAAAAGCCCCCUGGUUCGGGGAUGGUGACUCACGCCUGUAAUCCCAGCACUUUGGGAGGUGGAGGUGGGUGGAUCACUUGAGGCCAGGAGUUCGAGACCAGCCUGGCUAACAUGGUGAAACCCCAUCUCUACUAAAAAUACAUAAAUUAGCUGGGUGUGGUAGCCCACGUCUGUAGUUCCAGCUACUCCGGGGGCUGAGGCAUGAGAAUCGCUUGAACCUGGGAGGCCGAGGUUGCAGUGGGGCAGGCUUUGUCAAACUGCUGCCCCAGGAUACGGUCUUGAGGGUGGCUGUGGGGACACCCAGCACCUGCACCCCAAAGCCAUACGGUGUCAGAUUUUAGGAAGCGGUGGAGAACACUCGGUACCUUCUCGGUCCAGACAUCAAUAUUCCGGAGAGAACCAAAGCACCCACACUGGGCCCUCGCCAUCCUAACAGUCUGCCCACCUGUGAGAAACGCCCCCAAAUACUCUACAUUUCUUGGUUGGCCGAAAAGCAGCUCAGCGAGCAGUCUUACCUCCCAGGUGGGGUUUUCCCCCAGGGUAAGGAGGCCAGGGUCUGCAGGCCAGGGAGAGGAGCCCGGGUGCAGGAGCGGGCGGGGCAGCAGGAGGGCCCGCUCCAGCCACCCAGAAGUGGGCGUGGGCUAGAAUUCCGUUCCCAGCCUUCCAGAAGCUGCAAUUUUACAACCUCACAACAAGCGUCCCCUAGCAAAGCUGCACCGCCAUUUCCUGUGCUUGGGAACUGGAGGCAAGAGCCAUCUGAGAAGCAGCCCUGUCUGGGUCAUUGCGAUAGACAGAGGACACAGCGUGCGGUGCAGAGGACCCGGCCUGGCCCUGAGGCUGAACCGGCUGAACAGAUCCUGAAGACUAUGGAGGCAGAGCUCUGCUGCCCCCAAACCCCGGGAUAGACACAGGAAGAUGAGCCUGUGCUUUGUACACCAAAGAAAAUGGCUGAGGAGCUUCCGUCAAUUGAGAGGUUUAUUUUGCCGGAGUUGAGGAUGUGCCCAGGAGAAAGUGUCGGUAAACCGGAUCCCCAACUUCAGGAAAAGGAUGGGCUCUGCCGGCUGGGUGGGUCCGAAGGAGCACAGGAGGAGCUGUGGCCUGCACGAUUUCCAAAGAAGGUGUGAAUACUUCAGUAUUCAAAGAGAAAAGAGCAGGCAGGGCCGGGCGCGGUGGCUCAAGCCUGUAAUCCCAGCACUUUGGGAGGCCGAG